UGCUCUCAGACUCCACGCCCGUGGGAGUAGUGAGAGGCAUAGGAUGGGACAGAAGGAGAUGCUAAACAGUGAUGCAGAAGCAGCGAAGACCUCCGCAAUCCUGCAGGGAAGCUUGGGAGCUGGUACGGCCCUGCAGAGAUGCACUGAGGGAAGCCAAGCUGCCAUGUUGUAAGCUGCCCUAUGAAGGGACCCACAUGGCAAAGAAUGGAGAAUGACCCCAGCCAGCCAAGAACUCUCAGCCUACCGGCCCAUGAGGAACUGAAUCCUGCCAACAGCGAUGUGAGUGAACUUGGAAGUGGAUCCUUCUCCAGUGGCACCAUCAGCAGUUUGAGGAAAAUAAACUUGAAUAUAUCAGUCCUAAUCCAGAAAGGCUUGAGAUGGUUGGUUGGAGAGUGUUUUCCAUGAUGUUGGCCUGAAGCCCUUCAGCCACUUUGAACAGGGUGCCCCCACUGGUGUCCUGAAGCUCAUCCUGCACCAAGCAGAAGCGAGCAGAAGAACCCCACACCCUGCCCCUGCUGCAACACACUCACCUGGAGACCUAAAAUGUGACCUCCAUGUCCCCUCUGUGAGAACAGCUUCUUCCACCUCUGCUGUGGGGAACAGCAGCAUCCCAGGCAGAGGGAACUGCAUAUGCAAGGAACCUGGGUGGGGUGGGGGGCAAUGGUGGCCGGCGUUUGAAGAACAGUAAGGCAGUCAAUGUUGCUGGAGCCCAGAGAGAUAAUGAAAGGUGGAUGACGUGGGGUCUUAUAGGUCACCAUGAGAGCUUUACUCUAAGGUGUUGGGAAGCCAGACACCUGCAGACAUGUCUGCAAAUACCUUUGAGGUUUGUCUGAAUCCUCAGCUGCAGAGGAAAACACAGGAAGUAUGGGAGUUCCCCACAAGAGUUCACAUUUGAACUAGGUUGUUUUUUUUUUAACCGCAACCUCUGCCUCCUAGUUGCAAGUGACUCUCCUGUCUCAGCCUCUCGAGUAG
RNAcentral lists this long non-coding RNA (972 nucleotides) under Homo sapiens (human). RNAcentral's name for it is "HSALNT0361414". The record is from RNAcentral. Lineage: Eukaryota; Metazoa; Chordata; Mammalia; Primates; Hominidae.